RNAcentral lists this ribosomal RNA (168 nucleotides) under Ecsenius midas (Persian blenny). RNAcentral describes it as "partial 12S rRNA". Lineage: Eukaryota; Metazoa; Chordata; Actinopteri; Blenniiformes; Blenniidae. The record is from RNAcentral.
CACCGCGGUUAUACGAGGGGCCCUAGCUGACAGACCCCCGGCGUAAAGGGUGGUUAAUAAUUAAACAAACUAAAGCCGAAUUUUUCCAAAUCUGUUAUACGUUCUCGGAAAAUAGAAGUCCUUCUACGAAAGUGGCUUUAUACAGUUGAACCCACGAAAGCUAAGAAA